RNAcentral lists this ribosomal RNA (462 nucleotides) under uncultured ammonia-oxidizing beta proteobacterium. Its description in RNAcentral is "bacterial SSU rRNA". It matches the Rfam family "Bacterial small subunit ribosomal RNA", at positions 202 to 647 of the family's 1533-position model. The record is from RNAcentral. Lineage: Bacteria; Pseudomonadati; Pseudomonadota; Betaproteobacteria.
AAGCAGGGGAUCGUAAGACCUUGCGCUUUUGGAGUGGCCGAUGCCUGAUUAGCUAGUUGGUGGGGUAAGGGCCUACCAAGGCAACGAUCAGUAGUUGGUCUGAGAGGACGACCAGCCACACUGGGACUGAGACACGGCCCAGACUCCUACGGGAGGCAGCAGUGGGGAAUUUUGGACAAUGGGCGGAAGCCUGAUCCAGCAAUGCCGCGUGAGUGAAGAAGGCCUUCGGGUUGUAAAGCUCUUUCAGUCGGGAAGAAAAGGUUGUGACUAAUAAUCGCAAUUUAUGACGGUACCGACAGAAGAAGCACCGGCUAACUACGUGCCAGCAGCCGCGGUAAUACGUAGGGUGCGAGCGUUAAUCGGAAUUACUGGGCGUAAAGGGUGCGCAGGCGGCUCUGUAAGUCAGAUGUGAAAUCCCCGGGCUUAACCUGGGAAUUGCGUUUGAAACUACAAGACUAGAGU